GUGGGGAAUCUUCCACAAUGGACGAAAGUCUGAUGGAGCAACGCCGCGUGAGUGAAGAAGGGUUUCGGCUCGUAAAGCUCUGUUGUCGGGGACGAAUGUGCAGUAUUUGAAUAAAGUAGUGCAAUGACGGUACCUGACGAGGAAGCCACGGCUAACUACGUGCCAGCAGCCGCGGUAAUACGUAGGUGGCAAGCGUUGUCCGGAAUUAUUGGGCGUAAAGGGAGCGCAGGCGGGAAGGUAAGUCGGUCUUAAAAGUGCGGGGCUCAACCCCGUGAUGGGAUCGAAACUAUCUUUCUUGAGUGCAGGAGAGGAAAGUGGAAUUCCUAGUGUAGCGGUGAAAUGCGUAGAUAUUAGGAGGAACACCAGUGGCGAAGGCGACUUUCUGGACUGUAACUGACGCUGAGGCUCGAAAGCCAGGGGAGCGAACGGGAUUAGAUACCCCGGUAGUCC
RNAcentral lists this ribosomal RNA (450 nucleotides) under uncultured bacterium. RNAcentral describes it as "partial 16S ribosomal RNA". It matches the Rfam family "Bacterial small subunit ribosomal RNA", at positions 354 to 796 of the family's 1533-position model. The record is from RNAcentral.